GCUCAAAACUCAAAGGACUUGACGGUGUCCCAAACCAACCUAGAGGAGCCUGUCCUAUAAUCGAUACCCCACGCUAUACCUUACCCCUCUUUGUUUAGCCCAGUCUGUAUACCGCCGUCUACCAGUUCGCCUUAUGACAGACCCCAUAACGAACAAACCAGCCUACCGCUCAUACGACAGGUCAAGGUGCAGCCAAUAGAGGGGCAGAGAUGGGCUACAUUUUCUACCCAUUAGAACACUACCACCCGCCAAAUGAAACAUAGGCCCAAAGGCGGAUCUAGCAGUAAGCCGGGCA
This 295-nucleotide ribosomal RNA is filed under the name Tarentola chazaliae (helmethead gecko). RNAcentral describes it as "partial 12S ribosomal RNA". The record is from RNAcentral. Lineage: Eukaryota; Metazoa; Chordata; Lepidosauria; Squamata; Phyllodactylidae.